RNAcentral lists this ribosomal RNA (440 nucleotides) under uncultured bacterium. Its description in RNAcentral is "bacterial SSU rRNA". It matches the Rfam family "Bacterial small subunit ribosomal RNA", at positions 338 to 795 of the family's 1533-position model. The record is from RNAcentral.
CCUACGGGUUGCACCAGUGGGGAAUAUUGCACAAUGGGCGAAAGCCUGAUGCAGCAAUGCCACGUGAGUGAAGAAGGCCUGCGGGUUGUAAAGCACUCUCAGUAGGGAGGAUUAUGACGUUACCUACAGAAGAAGCACCGGCUAACUCUGUGCCAGCAGCCGCGGUAAUACAGAGGGUGCGAGCGUUAAUCGGAAUUACUGGGCGUAAAGCGCGCGUAGGCGGCUUGGUCAGUCGGAUGUGAAAGCCCCGGGUUUAACCUGGGAAUUGCAUUCGAUACUGCCAGGCUGGAGUGUAGUAGAGGGAAGCGGAAUUCCGGGUGUAGCGGUGAAAUGCGUAGAGAUCCGGAGGAACAUCAGUGGCGAAGGCGGCUUCCUGGACUAACACUGACGCUGAGGUGCGAAAGCGUGGGGAGCAAACAGGAUUAGAUACCCGAGUAGUC